Molecule: ribosomal RNA, 350 nt
Filed under: uncultured bacterium
Lineage: Bacteria
Description: bacterial SSU rRNA
Rfam family: Bacterial small subunit ribosomal RNA
Source: RNAcentral
UUAGGAAUUUUGCGCAAUGGGGGAAACCCUGACGCAGCAACGCCGCGUGAGUGAAGAAGGCCUUCGGGUUGUAAAGCUCUUUCGACAGGGAAGAAACAAAUGACGGUACCUGUAUAAGAAGCACCGGCUAACUCCGUGCCAGCAGCCGCGGUAAUACGGAGGGUGCAAGCGUUGCUCGGAAUUACUGGGCGUAAAGCGUACGUAGGCGGUUUAGUAAGUCUGAUGUGAAAGCCCACGACUCAAUCGUGGAAGUGCAUUGGAUACUGCUAGACUAGAGUAGAGGAGAGGUGAGCGGAAUUCCAGGUGUAGAGGUGAAAUUCGUAGAUAUCUGGAGGAACAACAGAGGCGAA